Long non-coding RNA from Jaculus jaculus (lesser Egyptian jerboa), 336 nucleotides. RefSeq lists it as uncharacterized. Lineage: Eukaryota; Metazoa; Chordata; Mammalia; Rodentia; Dipodidae. The record is from RefSeq and is a predicted model, not a curated record. The transcript is spliced from 3 exons.
AAGAACACUUCUUCCUCCAGAUCUCAGAAGUCCAGAUUCACACUCCCAGUCCUCAGAGGGAAGAGUGAUGUGAGCAACAGAUAAAGAUAGGACCUGACUGAAUGCUGUGUGGGCCUGACACAAGUACACACAGGCUUGUGUGCAACGACCUCUGUGGAUUUAUGUCACAUACAUGAGCCAUUUUGCACAUGAUCUGAAGUCAAAGGCGAGAUGAAUAAUGAGUUCAGAAUGGAGUCAAGGAAACUGCAUGAAUAUUUCUCGGCUACAAGGAAAAUUGUUAGAAAUAAUGAAUCAUUAAAACCGAGCACAGAAGCAACUUGUUAGUUUCCUCUCUCA